GACGAACGCUGGCGGCGUGCUUAACACAUGCAAGUCGAACGGAAAGGCCUGCUUUCCCUUGUGGAUUGCGGGUACUCGAGUGGCGAACGGGUGAGUAACACGUGAGUGAUCUGCCCCCAACUUGGGUAUAAGCCUGGGAAACUGGGUCUAAUUCCCGAUAGGACUGCAGGGUGGUGCCUGUGGUGGAAAACGAUUUUCUAGUGGUUGGGGAUGAGCUCGCGGCCUAUCAGCUUGUUGGUGGGGUAAUGGCCUACCAAGGCGGCGACGGGUAGCCGGCCUGAGAGGGUGGACGGCCACAUUGGGACUGAGAUACGGCCCAGACGCCUACGGGAGGCAGCAGUGGGGAAUAUUGCACAAUGGGCGGAAGCCUGAUGCAGCGACGCCGCGUGGGGGAUGACGGCCUUCGGGUUGUAAACUCCUUUCGACCGCGAGGAAGCCACCUGGUUGGAAGGGUGGUGACGGUAGUGGGAGAAGAAGCACCGGCUAACUACGUG
RNAcentral lists this ribosomal RNA (494 nucleotides) under uncultured bacterium. Its description in RNAcentral is "partial 16S ribosomal RNA". It matches the Rfam family "Bacterial small subunit ribosomal RNA", at positions 28 to 507 of the family's 1533-position model. The record is from RNAcentral.